This 332-nucleotide ribosomal RNA is filed under the name uncultured bacterium. Its description in RNAcentral is "bacterial SSU rRNA". It matches the Rfam family "Bacterial small subunit ribosomal RNA", at positions 568 to 898 of the family's 1533-position model. The record is from RNAcentral.
CGUGUAGGCGGCCGGAUAAGUCAGAUGUGAAAGCCCUGGGCUUAACUCAGGAAGUGCAUUUGAAACUGUCCUGCUAGAGUAAGGGAGAGGGAAGUGGAAUUCCUGGUGUAGAGGUGAAAUUCGUAGAUAUCAGGAGGAACACCGGUGGCGAAGGCGACUUCCUGGCCCUAUACUGACGCUGAGACGCGAGAGCGUGGGUAGCAAACAGGAUUAGAUACCCUGGUAGUCCACGCCGUAAACGAUGUUCACUAGGUGUUGGGGGUAUUGACCCCCUCAGUGCCGGAGCUAACGCAUUAAGUGAACCGCCUGGGGAGUACGGUCGCAAGACUAAA